Molecule: ribosomal RNA, 491 nt
Filed under: uncultured Nitrospira sp.
Lineage: Bacteria; Pseudomonadati; Nitrospirota; Nitrospiria; Nitrospirales; Nitrospiraceae
Description: bacterial SSU rRNA
Rfam family: Bacterial small subunit ribosomal RNA
Source: RNAcentral
AGAGUUUGAUCAUGGCUCAGAAUGAACGCUGGCGGCGCGCCUAAUACAUGCAAGUCGAGCGAGAAGACGUAGCAAUACGUUUGUAAAGCGGCGAACGGGUGAGGAAUACAUGGGUAACCUACCCUCGAGUGGGGAAUAACUAGCCGAAAGGUUAGCUAAUACCGCGUACGCUCCUUGGACUUCGGUUCAGGGAGGAAAGCGAUACCGUGGGUAUCGCGCUCUUGGAUGGGCUCAUGUCCUAUCAGCUUGUUGGUGAGGUAACGGCUCACCAAGGCUUCGACGGGUAGCUGGUCUGAGAGGACGAUCAGCCACACUGGCACUGCGACACGGGCCAGACUCCUACGGGAGGCAGCAGUAAGGAAUAUUGCGCAAUGGGCGAAAGCCUGACGCAGCGACGCCGCGUGGGGGAUGAAGGUCUUCGGAUUGUAAACCCCUUUCGGGAGGGAAGAUGGAAUGGGGUAACCCAUUUGGACGGUACCUCCAGAAGCAGC